GAUGAACGCUGGCGGCGUGCCUAAUACAUGCAAGUCGAGCGAACGGACGAGAAGCUUGCUUCUCUGAUGUUAGCGGCGGACGGGUGAGUAACACGUGGAUAACCUACCUAUAAGACUGGGAUAACUUCGGGAAACCGGAGCUAAUACCGGAUAAUAUUUUGAACCGCAUGGUUCAAAAGUGAAAGACGGUCUUGCUGUCACUUAUAGAUGGAUCCGCGCUGCACUAGCUAGUUGGUAAGGUAACGGCUUACCAAGGCAACGAUGCAUAGCCGACCUGAGAGGGUGAUCGGCCACACUGGAACUGAGACACGGUCCAGACUCCUACGGGAGGCAGCAGUAGGGAAUCUUCCGCAAUGGGCGAAAGCCUGACGGAGCAACGCCGCGUGAGUGAUGAAGGUCUUCGGAUCGUAAAACUCUGUUAUUAGGGAAGAACAUAUGUGUAAGUAACUGUGCGCAUCUUGACGGUACCUAAUCAGAAAGCCACGGCUAACUACGUG
RNAcentral lists this ribosomal RNA (497 nucleotides) under uncultured bacterium. Its description in RNAcentral is "partial 16S ribosomal RNA". It matches the Rfam family "Bacterial small subunit ribosomal RNA", at positions 28 to 507 of the family's 1533-position model. The record is from RNAcentral.